Molecule: long non-coding RNA, 661 nt
Filed under: Homo sapiens (human)
Lineage: Eukaryota; Metazoa; Chordata; Mammalia; Primates; Hominidae
Description: non-protein coding lnc-MAK16-1:4
Source: RNAcentral
GAAACUUUUUGGGAAAGUUCCCCAAAACUUUGGGGAACUGUGUUCCCCUGAAGUUUGGAGGGUGAGGAGUGAAAGAGGUUGAGAAGAAUGAGCUGGCUGGAUGGAGUCUUGUUCUGUCACCAGGCUGGAGUGCAGUGGUGCGAUCUCAGCUCACUACAACCUCCACCUCCUGGGUUCAAGUGAAUCCCCUGCCUCAGCCUCCCUAGUAGCUGGGACUACAGGCACACACCACCACACCUGGCUAAUUUUUUGUAUUUUUUAGUAGAGACGGGGUUUCACCAUGUUGGCCAGGAUGGUCUCAAUCUCUUGACCUCAUGAUCUGCCCACCCCACCCUCCCAAAGUUCUGGGAUUACAGGCCUGAGCCACUGCACCUGGCUGCUAGUUCUUAAGAGGGAGGUAUGAGACGUAUGUAUAGACUAAGUGAAAGGAAAAUAUCUUGGGCCCCCAAAAUCACUAAGCUAAAAGGAAAAUUCAAGCUGGAAACUGCUCAGAGCAAACCUGCUUCCCAUUCUAUUCAAAGUCAUCCCUCUGCUCACUGAGGUAAAUGCAUAUUCUGAUUGGCUCCUUUGUAAAAGCUAAUUAGAAACUCAAAAGAAUGCAACUAUUUGUCUCUCACCUACUUGUGACCUGGAAGACCCCUCCCUGCUUCAAGUUCUCCCC